RNAcentral lists this ribosomal RNA (301 nucleotides) under uncultured bacterium. Its description in RNAcentral is "partial 16S ribosomal RNA". It matches the Rfam family "Bacterial small subunit ribosomal RNA", at positions 509 to 809 of the family's 1533-position model. The record is from RNAcentral.
CAGCCGCCGCGGUAAUACGAAGGGUGCAAGCGUUACUCGGAAUUACUGGGCGUAAAGCGUGCGUAGGUGGUGGUUUAAGUCCGUUGUGAAAGCCCUGGGCUCAACCUGGGAAUUGCAGUGGAUACUGGGUCACUAGAGUGUGGUAGAGGAUAGUGGAAUUUCCGGUGUAGCAGUGAAAUGCGUAGAGAUCGGAAGGAACAUCUGUGGCGAAGGCGACUAUCUGGGCCAACACUGACACUGAGGCACGAAAGCGUGGGGAGCAAACAGGAUUAGAUACCCGCGUAGUCCCUGUCUCUUAUCA